AAUUAAUUAGAAACAACACAACCAAGGAAUGAACAUGUUUUCUAUAUAAAACCAGAGGAGAGCAGUGGAGAUGAACCUUCUGAUGAGGAGAAUGUGAUGUUUGAAGAGUUUUGCCUGAAAAUCUCAAAGUAUUCCGUUUGGACAAUCCCUGAACCAAAACACAUUCAAGGUGUUGCAUCAGCCAAUGAGGAACGAGGUAUGGUUGAGAGGAAUGGAUGUUACUGUAAUUCAUGGCAGAAACAUACAGCCGACCGCUCCCUUAUCAGGAGCAUCGAGUUCAGACUCCCUGCACCACAUGGGUGUAACAACACGGAGAUCAUGUAUGUAUAUGUGUGUGUGUGUGUGUAUGUGUGUGUGAUCUGUAUAAAACAUGGUGUCAACGGACAAUGGCCAGUUGAAAAGUCAGGAUCUGUCACCCAUUGACCGUUGCUGAUAUUCUCUCCUAGUGAGACACUGGUGGAGGGCACAAAGGUGUGUGUGAAUGACUCUUCAACAAGUUACUUCACAUCACUGUUUGGGUGAGUUCAUGACUAAGAAAUGUCACAAUAUCAC
Long non-coding RNA from Esox lucius (northern pike), 552 nucleotides. NCBI's taxonomy places the organism in Eukaryota, Metazoa, Chordata, Actinopteri, Esociformes, Esocidae. The record is from Ensembl.